GUAGGGGGGCCAGCGUUGUCCGGGAUUCAUUGGGGCGUAAAGAGCGUGUAGGCGGUUCAAUAGGUCCGAUGUGAAAACUCGAGGGCUCAACCUCGAGAGGUCGUCGGAAACCAUUGGGCUAGAGUCCGGAAGAGGAGAGUGGAAUUCCUGGUGUAGCGGUGAAAUGCGCAGAUAUCAGGAAGAACACCGAUGGCGAAGGCAGCUCUCUGGGACGGUACUGACGCUGAGACGCGAAAGCGUGGGGAGCGAACAGGAUUAGAUACCCUGGUAGUCCACGCCGUAAACGAUGGGCACUAGGUGUGGGUGGUGUCGACUCCAUCCGUGCCGCAGCUAACGCAUUAAGUGCCCCGCCUGGGGAGUACGGCCGCAAGGCU
RNAcentral lists this ribosomal RNA (374 nucleotides) under uncultured organism. RNAcentral's name for it is "partial 16S ribosomal RNA". It matches the Rfam family "Bacterial small subunit ribosomal RNA", at positions 526 to 895 of the family's 1533-position model. The record is from RNAcentral.